Molecule: RNA transcript, 3257 nt
Organism: Saccostrea cuccullata (small rock oyster)
Lineage: Eukaryota; Metazoa; Mollusca; Bivalvia; Ostreida; Ostreidae
Exons: 2
Source: RefSeq, a predicted model, not a curated record
AAAUUCAUUUCGUUGUUUACUUGCUAAAAAUACUCAUAGAUCACGUGACUAGGUAACUAUAAAUACACUGGGUCAUACGCAUUCUUUAUCGACUCUCGCUAUAACCUCGAUUCACGUUAAAUCGAGAAUCACGAGCAUGGAAACGGACCGCCUUGAAGAAGAAAUGUUACAGGAAAAUAUGAACGAAACAGAUAUGUCUACAGCAGAUGCUGUUUCACUAUUUAACUCGUCAUUAAAUAAAGCUCUUGAACGCCAAAAAGCUGAAAUACUGGGAGAAUUACGAAAAGGCACGGAAUCUUCAGCAAGUACUAAUGUGAGUACAAUUCCAAAAAAUGGUUCAAACGUUGAUACACAAGCUUGCCAACCUUCAAAAUUUGAAUUUAAACAAGAAGGAACUAAAAUUCAAUUUAACUUUAAUUCUGACCGCAUUGCUGCUUUACAAAAAAUUGAACUUUUGUUGAAGUCUGAGAAUAAAGAAGAUAUUGAAUCUGUUAUUAAAUCUGAGAUUGCUACUAUUAAUCAGCGCAAUAAGAUACUCAAAAUAGCAGACCGCCAUGGCUGGGAUACGGUCCAGGAGUAUUUGGACGACCCCUUAGCUGACAACGGUGAGGAUGCUACAAAAUUGCGUUCAGCGGUCAUAAGGGCAUCCAGAAAGAGGACUCAUUUCAACAAGCCUUACAGCAGAGGAGCUUCUAGAGGAGGAUUCAAUCCCAGAGCCUUUUUUCGUGGCUUCAGCCAGAACUUUGGACAGAGAACCGACAUGUACACUCAAAACACAGCGCAGAACGCCACACAGUACAACGACGGGUUGUGUUUCUAUUGCAAGAGGCCAGGGCACAUCGCAAAAUUCUGUCCAUUUAAACCCAUUCUCUCAAGAGGAAAACCUAACACCCCAGCAACAGCCACCAGUACCAGUGCAGAAUAACGACUUGGAGACAGAACAAGUUGAGUAUUUGGGCAAAAAUUAUGAAUUCAUGAAUAAAGAUAAAGUAGUAAAGAACAGAUUGAAAAAUAAUGCAAAAUUUUGGGAAAAUACAUUAAAUCCAUCAGAGUUAGUUUUAAGUACAGUAAAGUAUGGUUAUGUUAUUCCUUUUAUACAAGAUCCUACUUCUGUAUGUCUUAAGAAUAACAAAUCAGCCUUUGACAACUCUGAGUUUGUAGAAAAAGCUAUAAGAGAAUUACUUGACAGCAAGUGUAUUUCAGAGGUUUCAGAAAAGCCAUAUGUUGUCAACCCAUUGACAGUAUCGGUAAGUGAUUCUAGGAAACAAAGACUAGUUUUAGAUCUAAGGCAUGUGAAUGAAUAUGUCUUAAAACAGAGAAUAAAAUUUGAGGGCGUUAAGGAAGCGAAGCAAUAUGCUAAGAAGGGUUAUUAUAUGUUCAAAUUUGAUUUACGUUCAGAAUAUCAUCAUGUUAACAUACAUUCAGAACAUCAAAAAUUUCUUGGUUUUUCAUGGUAUAUGGACGGUGCCCACAGAUAUUUCGUUUUUACAGUUUUACCAUUCGGUUUAUCUUCGGCCGGGCAUAUUUUCACAAAAAUUGUACGAACAUUAGUGAAUUAUUGGAGAGCUCAGAGUUUUCCGAUUAUUGUGUAUCUAGACGAUGGGUGAGCGUGUGAUACAAAAGAAAAAUGCAUACAUAUGGCAGAAUCUGUACAUUCUACGCUAUUGCAAGCAGGUUUUCUUCCAAAUUAUGAAAAAUCUGUUUUUUCUCCAUCUCAGAUAUUGGACUGGUUAGGUUUUACAUGGAAUUUAGAAUCUGGUGUUAUCCAGGUGCCAACAAGUAAGAUAGAAAAAAUAAAAGGUACUUCUUGGACUGAUGUUCAUCAAUUUGCAGAACUGAAUAAAACGUUCGAAGGCAGCAGUCAGCAUAUUCUGAAUAUCGUUAAAAGUAGUAAAUCUACAUCUACAAAUAAGAAGUAUGAAGUGUAUUUUAAAAAGUUCAGAGAAUGGUGUAUUAAAAAUAAGUGUUCUUAUCUUCCAGCAUCAGUGCCUUCCGUAGCAGUUUAUUUAAGUGGUUUUGUUCAACAAAGUGUGUCUUUUUCUGUAUUUUGUGCACAUCUUUACAGCAUCAAGUGGUUUCAUGAAUUCAAUUUAAAGAAAAAUCCGUGUGAUGAUAAAUUAAUUCAUAUGAUGACAGAAGGAGCAAAGAGAAUACUCGGAAAACCAACUACGAAAAAAGAGCCUAUAACAGUAGAGCAUUUACAGCAGAUUGUGAAAAAAUUUGGUGCAGAUCUUUCAAAUUUAUUCAAUGUCAGGAUUUGUGCAAUGGUGUUAUUGUGUUUUGCGGGUUUUCUGCGGUACAGUGAGCUUGCUAAUUAAAGAAUGUCAAAUCUAAAAUUUCACGAUACAUAUAUCAUUUUGAAUAUUGAAUGUGGAAAGACAGACGUCUACAGAAGAGGCAACAACGUAAUUGUUUCAAAGACAGGUUCAUCAACGUGUCCAGUGAGAUGGCUUUUAAACUAUAUUGACUUGGCAAGUUUGAGUGUUGAUUCUGAUGAAUACGUUUUUAGAUCCGUCAGAUACUUUAAAUCACUAGGAAAGUACAAGUUAGUUUCACAAAAUCGUCCAUUGUCGUAUACUAGAGCCAGGGAAAUUUUUCGAGAAGCAUUGUCACAGAUUGGCGUGGACAGUAAAGCAUUUUGUCUACACAGUUUGAGAAGUGGGGGCGCCACUGCGGCAUCUAACAAUUGUGUGUCCGACAGGUUGAUUAAAGAGCACGGCAGAUGGCGCACAGAUUUUGCGAAAGACGGAUAUAUCAAGGAUAAUGUUAAAACACAAACUUCUGUUUCUCUAAAUUUGGGAAUAUAAGAAAACAAACUUAUUAAUGAUUUCAGUGUAAAUGUAUAUGAUUAAAAUAAAUAAAUAAUCAUAAAUUUCAUAAAACAUCUGCCCUUUGUCUCGAGGUUAUAGCGAGUAGCACUCCUAAAAUGGUCUUUCUUGUUAUUACUUAGAAUAGAAUUAAUUUAUAUUCGGACGAACAAAGUGAGGGAGAAUAUAAAUAAAAUUCAUUUCGUUGUUUACUUGCUAAAAAUACUCAUAGAUCACGUGACUAGGUAACUAUAAAUACACUGGGUCAUACGCAUUCUUUAUCGACUCUCGCUAUAACCUCGAUUCACGUAUAUUCACGCCAAAUAAUGAAUUUCACGAAAAAGAUUUAUUGUCUGUCGAAAUACUGAUUUAUGCAUGCUUAGUUGACUGAAGAAUAUGUGUAAAUAAAUAUCAUAAAUUUGAUUGACAAUUGAUUAAAGGUUAUAGCGA